This is a long non-coding RNA of Austrofundulus limnaeus, 175 nucleotides long. RefSeq lists it as uncharacterized. The record is from RefSeq and is a predicted model, not a curated record. The transcript has 2 exons. NCBI's taxonomy places the organism in Eukaryota, Metazoa, Chordata, Actinopteri, Cyprinodontiformes, Rivulidae.
GAGUUCGUAAACUCACUCAAGCCCCGCAACCCGGAAGUGCUUCCACCGGACUUCACCCAAGACUCUCUUUCAAGAGUACUGUUGGUACUUCCUGUACUCUAAAAAGAACUCCUGAUUCCUGUGACGUUUGUCUCCCGAUCCAGCUGUUUAUAUUUUAAUAAAAAUAUUAAAACUA